Molecule: ribosomal RNA, 460 nt
Filed under: uncultured bacterium
Lineage: Bacteria
Description: partial 16S ribosomal RNA
Rfam family: Bacterial small subunit ribosomal RNA
Source: RNAcentral
CCUACGGGUGGCUGCAGUGAGGAAUAUUGGUCAAUGGGCGCGAGCCUGAACCAGCCAAGUAGCGUGAAGGAUGACUGCCCUACGGGUUGUAAACUUCUUUUAUAAAGGAAUAAAGUGAGGCACGUGUGCCUUUUUGUAUGUACUUUAUGAUUAAGGCUCGACUAACUCCGGGCCAGCAGCCGCGGUAAUACGGAGGAUCCGAGCGUUAUCCGGAUUUAUUGGGUUUAAAGGGAGCGUAGAUGGGUUGGUAAGUCAGUUGUGAAAUUUUGCGGCUUAACCGUAAAAUUGCAAUUGAUACUGGCAGCCUUGAGUACAGUAGAGGUAGGCGGAAUUCGGUGUGUAGCGGUGAAAUGCUUAGAUAUCACGAAGAACUCCGAUUGCGAAGGCAGCCUACUAAACUGCCACUGACAUUGAUGCUCGAAAGUGUGGGUAUCAAACAGGAUUAGAUACCCCUGUAGUC